ACUCAAAUGAAUUGACGGGGGCCCGCACAAGCGGUGGAGCAUGUGGUUUAAUUCGACGCAACGCGAAGAACCUUACCCAGGCUUGACAUCCAGAGAACCCCUUCGAAAGUUGGGGGUGCCCUUCGGGGAGCUCUGAGACAGGUGCUGCAUGGCUGUCGUCAGCUCGUGUCGUGAGAUGUUGGGUUAAGUCCCGCAACGAGCGCAACCCUCGUCCUUAGUUACCAGCUUUAAGUUGGGGACUCUAGGGAGACUGCCGGUGUUAAACCGGAGGAAGGUGGGGAUGACGUCAAGUCCUCAUGGCCCUUAUGCCUGGGGCCACACACGUGCUACAAUGGUCGGUACAAAGGGCUGCCAGCUCGAGAGAGUGAGCCAAUCCCAAAAAACCGAUCUCAGUUCGGAUUGAAGUCUGCAACUCGACUUCAUGAAGUUGGAAUCGCUAGUAAUCGCGCAUCAGAACGGCGCGGUGAAUACGUUCCCGGGCCUUGUACACACCGCCCGU
Molecule: ribosomal RNA, 499 nt
Filed under: uncultured bacterium
Lineage: Bacteria
Description: partial 16S ribosomal RNA
Rfam family: Bacterial small subunit ribosomal RNA
Source: RNAcentral